UACGAAGGGUGCAAGCGUUAAUCGGAAUUACUGGGCGUAAAGCGUGCGCAGGCGGUUGUGCAAGACCGAUGUGAAAUCCCCGGGCUUAACCUGGGAAUGGCAUUGGUGACUGCACGGCUAGAGUGUGUCAGAGGAGACUGGAAUUCCUGGUGUAGCAGUGAAAUGCGUAGAUAUCAGGAGGAACACCGAUGGCGAAGGCAGGUCUCUGGGCUGACACUGACGCUCAUGCACGAAAGCGUGGGGAGCAAACAGG
RNAcentral lists this ribosomal RNA (253 nucleotides) under uncultured bacterium. Its description in RNAcentral is "partial 16S ribosomal RNA". It matches the Rfam family "Bacterial small subunit ribosomal RNA", at positions 524 to 776 of the family's 1533-position model. The record is from RNAcentral.